AGGUUGAUUUUGACAAACCAAUAUCAUGAAGAGAGGUGAUGACAUAAAAAUCAUGCUCAAUAGGAUUAUGCUGAGGCCA
Mesocricetus auratus (golden hamster) is the source of this 79-nucleotide small nucleolar RNA. Its record names the gene SNORD115. It matches the Rfam family "Small nucleolar RNA SNORD115". From Rfam's summary of the family: HBII-52 is a member of the C/D class of snoRNAs, which contain the C (UGAUGA) and D (CUGA) box motifs. HBII-52 is encoded in a tandemly repeated array with another C/D snoRNA, HBII-85, in the Prader-Willi syndrome (PWS) region of chromosome 15. HBII-52 is exclusively expressed in the brain but is absent in PWS patients. The record is from Ensembl. Lineage: Eukaryota; Metazoa; Chordata; Mammalia; Rodentia; Cricetidae.